AUGGAGUACAAGGCUCCCCUGUUGUGGAUGCUGCUGCUUUUGGUUCCAGGCUCCACUGGGGAUACAGUGCUGACUCAGUCUUCAGCCUCCUUGAGUGUAUCUCCAGGACAGAGGACCUCCAUCUCCUGCAGGGCCAGCCAGAGUGUUAAUGCAUAUGGUAUUGGCAUUAUGCACUGGUAUCAACAGAAACCAGGACAGCCUCCCAAACUUUUGAUCUAUGAAGCAUCCAAUCAAGCCCCUGGGGUACCAGAGCGGUUCAGUGGCAGUGGGUCUGAGACAGACUUCACCCUCACCAUUCACCCUGUGGUGGCCGAGGAUGCUGCACACUAUUACUGUCAGUAG
This is a non-coding RNA of Heterocephalus glaber (naked mole-rat), 342 nucleotides long. Lineage: Eukaryota; Metazoa; Chordata; Mammalia; Rodentia; Bathyergidae. The record is from the annotation of a RefSeq genome assembly.